UUACCUACGAGGCAGGGCAGAUCCCCUUCUCCUUGGCCUUGAAUGACCCAGUGCAGUUAGGGUGUGAAGGCCUGUCCCUUGCACUGCGGGCAGGCUGACCCCUGCGAGAGGCUAUAAUACCUCCAACAGGAGGAUCUCAGCUACAUAAUUUGUGGUGAUGGGGGACUGCUCUCGGGCUUUCCCUCU
This 186-nucleotide small nuclear RNA is filed under the name Crocodylus porosus (Australian saltwater crocodile). RNAcentral's name for it is "U1 spliceosomal RNA (ENSCPRG00005002363.1)". It matches the Rfam family "U1 spliceosomal RNA". Rfam says of the family: U1 is a small nuclear RNA (snRNA) component of the spliceosome (involved in pre-mRNA splicing). The record is from RNAcentral. Lineage: Eukaryota; Metazoa; Chordata; Crocodylia; Crocodylidae.